AGUGAACGCUGGCGGCGUGCUUAACACAUGCAAGUCGAGCGAAUUUCAGCAGCGUAUCGCUGAAGUUAGCGGCAGACGGGUGAGUAAUACUUGGGCAAUCUGCCCUCGAGAGGGAAACAACCUGCCGAAAGGCGGGCUAAUGUCCCGUAAGACCACAGAGGCGCAUGCUUCAGAGGUCAAAGCUCCGCAAGGGGCACUUGAGGAGGAGUCCAAGGCCUAUCAUGGUAGUUGGUGAGGUAACGGCUCACCAAGCCUGCGACGGGUAGCCGG
This 270-nucleotide ribosomal RNA is filed under the name uncultured bacterium. RNAcentral describes it as "partial 16S ribosomal RNA". It matches the Rfam family "Bacterial small subunit ribosomal RNA", at positions 29 to 290 of the family's 1533-position model. The record is from RNAcentral.